AUUAACGCGAAGAACCUUACCAGGGAUUGACAUGACCGUAGUAGUGAAGCGAAAGCGGAACGACCCUUCGGGGAGCGGUCACAGGUGAUGCAUGGCUGUCGUCAGCUCGUGCCGUGAGGUGUUUGGUUAAGUCCACCAACGAGCGCAACCCCUAGCGCCAGUUACACGUGUCUGGCGCGACUGCCGGUAUUAAGCCGGAGGAAGGUGGGGAUGACGUCAAGUCAGCAUGUCCUUUAUACCCUGGGCGACACACACGCUACAGUGGCCGGUACAAUGGGUUGCCAAGCCGCGAGGCGGAGCCAAUCCUCAAAAGCCGGUCUCAGUUCGGAUUGCAGGCUGCAACCCGCCUGCAUGAAGUCGGAGUUACUAGUAACCGCAGGACAGCUAUACUGCGGUGAAUACGUUCCCAAGUCUUGUACACACGCAAU
Molecule: ribosomal RNA, 428 nt
Filed under: uncultured bacterium
Lineage: Bacteria
Description: bacterial SSU rRNA
Rfam family: Bacterial small subunit ribosomal RNA
Source: RNAcentral